This 2628-nucleotide ribosomal RNA is filed under the name Klebsiella pneumoniae. Its description in RNAcentral is "partial 23S ribosomal RNA". It matches the Rfam family "Bacterial large subunit ribosomal RNA". Lineage: Bacteria; Pseudomonadati; Pseudomonadota; Gammaproteobacteria; Enterobacterales; Enterobacteriaceae. The record is from RNAcentral.
CACUAUCGUUAACUGAAUACAUAGGUUAACGAGGCGAACCGGGGGAACUGAAACAUCUAAGUACCCCGAGGAAAAGAAAUCAACCGAGAUUCCCCCAGUAGCGGCGAGCGAACGGGGAGCAGCCCAGAGUCUGAAUCAGCUUGUGUGUUAGUGGAACGGUCUGGAAAGUCCGACGGUACAGGGUGAUAGUCCCGUACACCAAAAUGCACAGGCUGUGAACUCGAAGAGUAGGGCGGGACACGUGGUAUCCUGUCUGAAUAUGGGGGGACCAUCCUCCAAGGCUAAAUACUCCUGACUGACCGAUAGUGAACCAGUACCGUGAGGGAAAGGCGAAAAGAACCCCGGCGAGGGGAGUGAAAAAGAACCUGAAACCGUGUACGUACAAGCAGUGGGAGCACCUUCGGGUGUGACUGCGUACCUUUUGUAUAAUGGGUCAGCGACUUAUAUUCUGUAGCAAGGUUAACCGUAUAGGGGAGCCGCAGGGAAACCGAGUCUUAACUGGGCGUUAAGUUGCAGGGUAUAGACCCGAAACCCGGUGAUCUAGCCAUGGGCAGGUUGAAGGUUGGGUAACACUAACUGGAGGACCGAACCGACUAAUGUUGAAAAAUUAGCGGAUGACUUGUGGCUGGGGGUGAAAGGCCAAUCAAACCGGGAGAUAGCUGGUUCUCCCCGAAAGCUAUUUAGGUAGCGCCUCGUGAACUCAUCUUCGGGGGUAGAGCACUGUUUCGGCUAGGGGGUCAUCCCGACUUACCAACCCGAUGCAAACUACGAAUACCGAAGAAUGUUAUCACGGGAGACACACGGCGGGUGCUAACGUCCGUCGUGAAGAGGGAAACAACCCAGACCGCCAGCUAAGGUCCCAAAGUCAUGGUUAAGUGGGAAACGAUGUGGGAAGGCACAGACAGCCAGGAUGUUGGCUUAGAAGCAGCCAUCAUUUAAAGAAAGCGUAAUAGCUCACUGGUCGAGUCGGCCUGCGCGGAAGAUGUAACGGGGCUAAACCAUGCACCGAAGCUGCGGCAGCGACACUAUGUGUUGUUGGGUAGGGGAGCGUUCUGUAAGCCUGCGAAGGUGUGCUGUGAGGCAUGCUGGAGGUAUCAGAAGUGCGAAUGCUGACAUAAGUAACGAUAAAGCGGGUGAAAAGCCCGCUCGCCGGAAGACCAAGGGUUCCUGUCCAACGUUAAUCGGGGCAGGGUGAGUCGACCCCUAAGGCGAGGCCGAAAGGCGUAGUCGAUGGGAAACAGGUUAAUAUUCCUGUACUUGGUGUUACUGCGAAGGGGGGACGGAGAAGGCUAUGUUAGCCGGGCGACGGUUGUCCCGGUUUAAGCAUGUAGGCUGGUUGUCCAGGCAAAUCCGGAUAAUCAAGGCUGAGGUGUGAUGACGAGGCACUACGGUGCUGAAGUAACAAAUGCCCUGCUUCCAGGAAAAGCCUCUAAGCAUCAGGUAACAUCAAAUCGUACCCCAAACCGACACAGGUGGUCAGGUAGAGAAUACCAAGGCGCUUGAGAGAACUCGGGUGAAGGAACUAGGCAAAAUGGUGCCGUAACUUCGGGAGAAGGCACGCUGGUGUGUAGGUGAAGUCCCUGCGGAUGGAGCUGAGACCAGUCGAAGAUACCAGCUGGCUGCAACUGUUUAUUAAAAACACAGCACUGUGCAAACACGAAAGUGGACGUAUACGGUGUGACGCCUGCCCGGUGCCGGAAGGUUAAUUGAUGGGGUUAUCCGUAAGGAGAAGCUCUUGAUCGAAGCCCCGGUAAACGGCGGCCGUAACUAUAACGGUCCUAAGGUAGCGAAAUUCCUUGUCGGGUAAGUUCCGACCUGCACGAAUGGCGUAAUGAUGGCCAGGCUGUCUCCACCCGAGACUCAGUGAAAUUGAACUCGCUGUGAAGAUGCAGUGUACCCGCGGCAAGACGGAAAGACCCCGUGAACCUUUACUAUAGCUUGACACUGAACAUUGAGCCUUGAUGUGUAGGAUAGGUGGGAGGCUUUGAAGCGUGGACGCCAGUCUGCGUGGAGCCAACCUUGAAAUACCACCCUUUAAUGUUUGAUGUUCUAACGUUGGCCCCUGACCGGGGUUGCGGACAGUGUCUGGUGGGUAGUUUGACUGGGGCGGUCUCCUCCCAAAGCGUAACGGAGGAGCACGAAGGUUAGCUAAUCCUGGUCGGACAUCAGGAGGUUAGUGCAAUGGCAUAAGCUAGCUUGACUGCGAGCGUGACGGCGCGAGCAGGUGCGAAAGCAGGUCAUAGUGAUCCGGUGGUUCUGAAUGGAAGGGCCAUCGCUCAACGGAUAAAAGGUACUCCGGGGAUAACAGGCUGAUACCGCCCAAGAGUUCAUAUCGACGGCGGUGUUUGGCACCUCGAUGUCGGCUCAUCACAUCCUGGGGCUGAAGUAGGUCCCAAGGGUAUGGCUGUUCGCCAUUUAAAGUGGUACGCGAGCUGGGUUUAGAACGUCGUGAGACAGUUCGGUCCCUAUCUGCCGUGGGCGCUGGAGAAUUGAGGGGGGCUGCUCCUAGUACGAGAGGACCGGAGUGGACGCAUCACUGGUGUUCGGGUUGUCAUGCCAAUGGCACUGCCCGGUAGCUAAAUGCGGAAGAGAUAAGUGCUGAAAGCAUCUAAGCACGAAACUUGCCCC